AGACAUGUUUAUUCUGUUGUCUGUUUGCGGGAGUUCCAAAAUAUUUACUAAAUGUUUUCAAAUUUUACCGAUAGUAAUUUUUCGUUAUCAUAAACAAUGCUACUUUUGUUAUAGAAUCCAUUUUUCUGGCAGCCACGGGAAGAAAAGAAAAAUCAUUUCAAUUAUGUUGCGUGACGAAUAUUUCGUUUCGGUCUACUGAACAAAGAUUGUACUUCUGAAAUUUUGCUGUCCAAGUGAAUUGUAUUGCUCUUAAUUCAAAAAUAUUAGUCAUGCUGAGCCAAAUAUCAAAAGUGUUUGCUUUUGGAAGAAAAAUAUUAAUUUUAUAUAGCUGUCGUUUUAGUUCUGUUCCUGUACCAAUUCCUGAACCCAAGAUUUAUCAUACCAAACUUUUCAUUAAUAAUGAGUGGCAUAAAUCACGGUCUGGAAAGGUAUUUCCUACAACUAAUCCAGCAACAGGUGAUGUCAUUACUAAUGUAGAAGAGGCAGAUUUUGAAGAUAUUGACAAAGCAGUGAAAGCUGCACAAUCUGCUUUCAAAUUUGGAUCACCUUGGAGGCGUUUGGAUGCAUCUGAACGAGGAAAAUUAUUGAACAAAUUAGCUGAUAUUAUAGAAAGGGACAGAGUAUAUUUGGCUAGUUUAGAAGCACUUGAUGGGGGGAAACCCUACUCUGAUGCUUAUAAAAUUGAUCUUGAUAUGGCAAUUAAAGUUUAUAGAUAUUUUGCUGGAUUUUGUGAUAAGAUAUAUGGGCAGACACUGGUCAUUGAUGGAGACUAUUUUGCAUACACGAGACAUGAACCUGUUGGUGUUUGUGGACAGAUUAUACCAUGGAAUGUUCCACUUGUGAUGCAGGCUUGGAAACUAGCACCUGCAUUAGCUGCUGGUAAUACAGUGAUCCUGAAGCCAGCUGAACAAACACCACUGUCAGCCCUAUAUGUUGCUGAACUCAUCAAAGAAGCUGGUUUUCCUCCAGGCGUAGUAAAUGUCAUACCUGGCUUUGGUCCGUCUGCCGGAUAUGCUCUUGCUACUCACCAUGGAGUUGAUAAAAUUGGGUUCACUGGCUCCACUCAUACUGGCCAGCUUAUAAUGGAAGCAGCAGCUAAAUCCAAUCUGAAACAUGUUACUCUAGAACUUGGUGGUAAAAGUCCUAGUAUAGUAUUCAAAGAUGCAGACUUGGACAAUGCUCUUCAAUUCACUCACCUUGGUGUGUUUUUCAACCAAGGUCAGGUUUGUUGUGCUGGUUCUAGGAUCUUUGUUGAAGAAACCAUUUAUGAUGAAUUUAUAGAAAAGAGUGUUGAGAUGGCUAAAAAGAGAAUUGUUGGAAAUCCUUUUGAUCCCCAAACACAGCAAGGACCACAAGUAGAUGCUGGGCAAAUGAAUAAGGUACUUAAUCUGAUCAAAAAUGGUGAAAAAGAAGGUGCAAAUAUGCUAUGUGGUGGUAAUCGUAUUGGGGACAAGGGCUACUUUAUCAGUCCAACAGUUUUUGCUAAUGUUCAAGACAAUAUGAAAAUUGCAAAAGAAGAAAUAUUUGGCCCUGUAAUGCAAAUUCUGAAAUUCAAAACAGUUGAAGAAUUAUUGGAAAGAGCAAAUAACACGAUGUAUGGUUUAGCUGCUGGAGUAUUUACUAAGGAUAUAGAUAAAGCAAUGUAUUUUUCAAGUGGUCUUCAAGCUGGAUAAAUUGCUAUAACAUUUUUUCUGAACAAGCUCCAUUUGGUGGAUUUAAAAUGUCUGGCAUUGGAAGAGAAAUGGGAGAAUAUGGCCUUCAAGCAUACAGUGAAAUUAAAACAGUCACCUUAAAAGUACCACAUAAAAAC
RNAcentral lists this unclassified non-coding RNA (1810 nucleotides) under Stegodyphus dumicola. RNAcentral describes it as "aldehyde dehydrogenase, mitochondrial-like, transcript variant X1". Lineage: Eukaryota; Metazoa; Arthropoda; Arachnida; Araneae; Eresidae. The record is from RNAcentral.